Molecule: RNA transcript, 3955 nt
Organism: Scylla paramamosain (green mud crab)
Lineage: Eukaryota; Metazoa; Arthropoda; Malacostraca; Decapoda; Portunidae
Gene: ais
Gene name: probable ATP-dependent RNA helicase DDX52
Exons: 16
Source: RefSeq, a predicted model, not a curated record
UGGAAUAGUCUGCCAUAAAAUCAUGACUGGUGGACGUUUUCCGUGAAAGAAGGUAAACACAGCUAGCUGAUCAGACAGCUCGCAGUGUGCAUCACGCGAGCCACGUGGGUAAGGUGUGUUGGGAUUAAUGUCGAGCAGUGUGACGAGGGAACGUAGGUAUGUGUGAGAGAAUACCAUUCCUGGGGUCACACCAACUGGGUGACUCUGCUAAAAUCUCAAGAUUCACAGGACAACAGGUGCAAAUGUCUUGGGUUUGGUGACCUCUUGGCUCACUGUUCAUCAUUUAUCCUGUGACUCAUACAUGUGCUGUGCAAACAAAAAUAGUGUGUGCAGCUCCACCAAUACUAUACACAUUAUGAAUCUCAGCAAUCCUAAUGUGUAUUGCUGCAAUAUAUAAAGUGUAGCUGUGUGAUCAGUGCCUGCUAAGGGGUACACUUGCAUAAGCAUCUUGAAAGGAAUUAGUGUGCCCUGUACUGGAACUGUUGGUGUAUUUGACAUCAUGAAUUCCUAUGACAUAUUCAAGAAACUAACCAAAGGAAUCAAGUUUGACCAUAAGCGAUUUAAAGAUGACUUCAGAAAGCUUGGGCUUCAGCCAUCAUCAGCAGUGCCAGCUAAAGUCAUUGUGCCCUUGGAUGAACAGCUGGAGGACGACACAGGGCAGAAAGACCAACAGGAAGGGGUAGAAAAAAAGGCCAGGUUGAAGAGGAAAAAGAAGGGAAAGAAUGACCAGCAGAAGCAGUUGAUGUUACAGCAACAAGAGAUCAGACGGCAGAGGCGUCAGCUGGGGAUCCAGGUGUGGGGGACAGAUAUUCCAGCACCUUUAGAAAAAUUCUCACAACUCAUCACAGACUAUGAUGUAAAUAGCAAGCUGAUAGUCAACCUUAAGGCUCAGGGCCACUCCAUCCCCACCCCAGUGCAGGCACAGGCAUGGCCUCUCAUGCUGCAACGCCGCCACAUCCUUGCCUCUGCCCCCACUGGCUCAGGCAAGACUGCAGCCUUCCUGAUUCCAUUACUGCAAGGACUUGGUGGUCCAAGGAAAAAGGGUUUCAGGGCAGUGAUUCUUGCCCCCACUCGGGAACUGGCCUCUCAGAUCCAUAGGGAAUGUGUGAGGCUGGGUGAGGGGCUGGGCAUCCGACCUAUUGUUAUUGCCAAUGUCACCAAGGCUAGGCAGAAGUAUGGCCCACAGUCUUCACAAAAGUUUGACCUACUAGUGACAACACCAAAUCGCCUUGUUCAUCUUCUGAAGGAAAGUGUUGAAGGUCCACCUCUCUCCCUGGCUAAUGUUGAGUGGCUGGUGGUGGAUGAGAGCGAUCGGCUCUUUCAAGAUGGCCAACGGGGUUUCCGAGAUCAGCUGGCUGCAGUAUACCAGGCAUGUACUGGUCCCUCAGUCACUCAGGCCUUGUUUUCAGCCACCUUUGCUCAAUCAGUUCAAGAUUGGUGUCGCCUCAACCUCCACAACAUGGCCAUGGUCUCUGUUGGCCUGAGAAAUUCUGCCUCAGAGGAUGUAGAGCAACACCUUCAGUUCUGUGGGAAUGAAGGCGGCAAGCUGCAUGCACUCAGGGAUAUCCUGAGGAAGGGUUACGAGCCACCAGUGCUGGUGUUUGUUCAGACUAAGGAGCGAGCAAAGGAGUUGUUUCGGGAGUUGAUUUAUGACAACAUCACUGUGGACACUAUCCAUGCUGACCGCACCCAGAAACAGCGAGACAAUGUGGUGGCAGCAUUCCGUGAGGGCAAGAUCUGGGUUUUGAUUUGCACGGAGCUGAUGUCUCGAGGUGUGGACUUUAAGGGUGUCAAUCUGGUCAUCAAUUAUGACUUGCCUCCCACAACCAUCAGCUACAUCCACCGUGUUGGCCGCACAGGCCGUGCUGGUCGCCGGGGCCAAGCUGUUACCUUUUGGACCAUGGAGGACCGUCCCAAACUCAGAAGCAUUGCCCAAGUGGUGCAGAGCUCUGGCCAGCAAGUGCCUCAGUGGAUGUUGGACCUCAAGAAGCCCAGCAAGAAUGAAAGGCAACGGAUGACAACCCAGCAGCCUGAGCGUGGCCACGUGUCUCGAGCAGUACAACAUGAGAAGGUGGCAAAACGGAGAAGAAAGAAGGAUAGCUUGGUUUCACACACUGCUGCCAGGUCAAAACAACACUGCCACCAUAUUCCUUAUGCAUCCUAGAGCAUCUACAAGGGACAGAGCUUGGGGAUUUGCAACCCUCUCCUCUGUAUUCCUGUUUCUAUGAUGAGACAAGUCAUGAAGUUUUAUCUAAGCUGUCUGUUUGAAAUGGAUCUCAGCCUAGUAGAGACAGAUGUGCCUGGAAUGCAGCAACUAGUGGCUGCAGAUAUUGGAGAAGCGCAAGAAGAUGAAGAUUGAGAGCAGUGAAGCAGCAUAUUGAUCUCAUAGUUGAUAACUUGACAGAAUACAAAAUAUAAUAUACACUUUUAAAACUGAGAGAAGUGUGUUUUAUGAAUUGUCAAUGCAAGUCAAAUAAGAAUGAUCACAGUUAAACAAUUUUAUUUUGUGCUGCAAAAUGUGGUACAGUAUAAGAAUAGAAAAUAUUUUUAAAAAAUCAACUUAGCCUUGAAUUUCACAUGAAAAUCUGACUCACAGUAUCAGCUUCCUGAUGAAAUAAACAUAAGAAGAAAAAUAUUUUUUUUUAUUUCUUUUUUUAUAUAUACUAUUACAUUCCUUAAUUUUUUUAUUGUUAUAUCAUUUCAAUUGGGGUAACCAGAUGGAUGGUUAUACAUUUACCUGUAUAAUCCUAAAUAAGGCACAGCAUGUAGACUAACAUUAUCCUACAAAACCCAGCACUGGGCUCACACCAGAUCAACAGAAGGAAAUGGACACUUGAGGCUGUUCUGGGCAAGCUACUCUGACUUUAAUAUUCUUAAAGCCAGAAAGCUAAAGUACAAAGUAAAAGACAAGCAAAACUACUUGGAGUCCAUGAAACACACCCUAAUAAAGAAAAAGCAAGAAACCUGUGUAUAAAGUAUUUCUUAUUUAAAUGUUGUGAAUUAUUAGUAAAUUUAUAUAUGUAGUUAUUUUUUUAUUUAUUUAUUUAUUUAUUUUAAGUAGUGAUUGAACACAUUGCUGGUGUACAUGCACCCAGCACAAAAAAGUGGAAACUGGACAAUUCCUAAAAGCUAAAUUAAAUUAUUAUUAUUUGCAUCACAACAUAGGGAGCUACAUUUGAGAACCAUGACUGAGCAGUACUGCUCAUACCACACUCCUGUGAAUAUUUAUGAGAGAUUCUGCAACAGUUCAAAUUAUUCUACAGUAAGUAUAUCUUAUAGCAGAUUCUAUGGCAAAGUUGUAUAUUGUGCUACAACAGCUUCAGAAAAUUAUAACUUGUUUUUAAUUAACUUUCACUCCUUUUAUCACCAAUGUCACAAUACACAACACAGCCCAACUUGUUUCCAGUACACAGAUGAGAGGAAUGCACUUUGUCACCUUUAAAAGGAAUGUAUUGUGUAGAUCAAGUAUACAUUAUAUUUUAAAAGUUCUUGCUACAGUAUAAAAGUUCAGUAGCAUUAAAUUGUAAUAAUAUUCCAAAAUUAACAUUUAUUAUUUGUUUACCUUGAUUGAUUAUAAACAUAAAGACCAAUGCUUCCUUCAAAUUUUCUUAUUAGGGCUGGUAAUUCAGUUAUAGUUACAGUCAUCCUCCUAUGCUUAACUAAAUGGUUAAUCAUUUCAUUUUGGUAAACACUAGUAGUCGAUUAUAACUCUUACAGAGCAACUGAAUAUUUAAAAGAGUAAGAAACAAAAAAAUAAUCUAUGCUGACUGCAGGAAGGUGGCUACAGAUGGGAAUGGCCAUCCUGCACCAGUCACUUUAGGUGGUAUAGCCGCAAUUGGUGCACUUGGGAUGGCGGCAGCAGCAGCAGAAGGCAAUGAUACCCGGGAUGAUACCAAGGGGAAGAAGCAACAGACAGGUAAUCCAUGUGCAGCAUGAGGCACUAUCUUUUAUUUUG